This 253-nucleotide ribosomal RNA is filed under the name uncultured bacterium. RNAcentral describes it as "partial 16S ribosomal RNA". It matches the Rfam family "Bacterial small subunit ribosomal RNA", at positions 524 to 776 of the family's 1533-position model. The record is from RNAcentral.
UACGGGGGGGGCAAGCGUUGUUCGGAAUUACUGGGCGUAAAGGGCUCGUAGGCGGCCAACUAAGUCAGACGUGAAAUCCCCGGGCUCAACCUGGGAACUGCGUCUGAUACUGAUUGGCUUGAAUCCGGGAGAGGGAUGCAGAAUUCCAGGUGUAGCGGUGAAAUGCGUAGAUAUCUGGAGGAAUACCGGUGGCGAAGGCGGCAUCCUGGACCGGCAUUGACGCUGAGGAGCGAAAGCCAGGGGAGCAAACGGG